UACAGAGGGUGCGAGCGUUAAUCGGAAUUACUGGGCGUAAAGCGUGCGUAGACGGUUAUUUAAGUCGGAUGUGAAAGCCCCGGGCUCAACCUGGGAAUUGCAUUCGAGACUGAAUAGCUAGGGUACGGUAGAGGGAAGCGGAAUUUCCGGUGGAGCGGUGAAAUGCGUAGAGAUCGGAAAGAACACCAACGGCGAAAGCACUCUGCUGGGCCGACACUGACACUGAGAGACGAAAGCUAGGGGAGCGAAUGGG
RNAcentral lists this ribosomal RNA (253 nucleotides) under uncultured bacterium. RNAcentral describes it as "partial 16S ribosomal RNA". It matches the Rfam family "Bacterial small subunit ribosomal RNA", at positions 524 to 776 of the family's 1533-position model. The record is from RNAcentral.